GAUGAACGCUGGCUACAGGCUUAACACAUGCAAGUCGAGGGGAAACGCCGGGGAAGCUUGCUUCCCCGGGCGUCGACCGGCGCACGGGUGAGUAACGCGUAUCCAACCUGCCUCUGACUGAGGGAUAACCCGUCGAAAGUCGGCCUAAUACCUCAUGGCAUCGUCUGCGGGCAUCCAACGACGAUUAAAGAUUUCAUCGGUCAGAGAUGGGGAUGCGUCUGAUUAGCUUGUUGGCGGGGUAACGGCCCACCAAGGCGACGAUCAGUAGGGGUUCUGAGAGGAAGGUCCCCCACAUUGGAACUGAGACACGGUCCAAACUCCUACGGGAGGCAGCAGUGAGGAAUAUUGGUCAAUGGGCGAGAGCCUGAACCAGCCAAGUAGCGUGCAGGAUGACGGCCCUAUGGGUUGUAAACUGCUUUUAUGCGGGGAUAAAGUGAGGGACGUGUCCUUCAUUGCAGGUACCGCAUGAAUAAGGACCGGCUAAGUCCGUG
This 491-nucleotide ribosomal RNA is filed under the name uncultured bacterium. Its description in RNAcentral is "partial 16S ribosomal RNA". It matches the Rfam family "Bacterial small subunit ribosomal RNA", at positions 28 to 507 of the family's 1533-position model. The record is from RNAcentral.